RNAcentral lists this ribosomal RNA (371 nucleotides) under uncultured bacterium. RNAcentral describes it as "bacterial SSU rRNA". It matches the Rfam family "Bacterial small subunit ribosomal RNA", at positions 527 to 896 of the family's 1533-position model. The record is from RNAcentral.
GGAGGGUGCAAGCGUUGUUCGGAUUUACUGGGCGUAAAGAGCGUGUAGGCGGCUUCCAAAGUUGGCAGUGAAAGGUCCUGGCUUAACUGGGAUAUGCCUGCCAAUACUGGGGAGCUAGAGGGCAGCAGAGGAAAGUGGAACUCGCGGUGUAGCGGUGAAAUGUGUAGAUAUCGCGAGGAACACCAGUGGCGAAGGCGGCUUUCUGGGCUGUUCCUGACGCUGAGACGCGAAAGCGUGGGGAGUGAAGCGGAUUAGAUACCCGCGUAAUCCACGCCUUAAACGGUGGAUACUAGGUAUGGGGGGUAUCGACCCUCUCCGUGCCGAAGCUAACGCCUUAAGUAUCCCGCCUGGGGACUACGGCCGCAAGGCUA